Dunckerocampus dactyliophorus (ringed pipefish) is the source of this 194-nucleotide small nuclear RNA. RefSeq annotates it as U2 spliceosomal RNA. NCBI's taxonomy places the organism in Eukaryota, Metazoa, Chordata, Actinopteri, Syngnathiformes, Syngnathidae. The transcript has a single exon. The record is from RefSeq and is a predicted model, not a curated record.
AAAUUUUUUGUAACAGUGACAAUAAACACGUUAAAAAAAAAUCUGUUCUUAUCAGUUUAAUAUCUGAUAUGUCUCCUAUCUGGGGACCAAAUAUUAAAUUGCUUUUUGGGACAGGGAGCUGAGCUCGGGGCUUGCGCCGUCCGCUCCACGCAUCGACCUGGUAUUGCAGUAUCUCCGGGAGCGGUGCACUUCUC